This 253-nucleotide ribosomal RNA is filed under the name uncultured bacterium. RNAcentral describes it as "partial 16S ribosomal RNA". It matches the Rfam family "Bacterial small subunit ribosomal RNA", at positions 524 to 776 of the family's 1533-position model. The record is from RNAcentral.
UACGUAGGGUGCGAGCGUUAAUCGGAAUUACUGGGCGUAAAGCGUGCGCAGGUGGUUGUGUAAGCCAGAUGUGAAAUCCCCGGGCUUAACCUGGGAAUGGCAUUUGGGACUGCACGGCUAGAGUGUGGCAGAGGGGGAUGGAAUUCCGCGUGUAGCAGUGAAAUGCGUAGAUAUGCGGAGGAACACCGAUGGCGAAGGCAAUCCCCUGGACCUGUACUGACGCUCAUGCACGAAAGCGUGGGGAGCAAACAGG